This 495-nucleotide ribosomal RNA is filed under the name uncultured bacterium. RNAcentral's name for it is "partial 16S ribosomal RNA". It matches the Rfam family "Bacterial small subunit ribosomal RNA", at positions 28 to 507 of the family's 1533-position model. The record is from RNAcentral.
GACGAACGCUGGCGGCGUGCCUAAUACAUGCAAGUAGAACGCUGAAGGAGGAGCUUGCUUCUCUGGAUGAGUUGCGAACGGGUGAGUAACGCGUAGGUAACCUGCCUGGUAGCGGGGGAUAACUAUUGGAAACGAUAGCUAAUACCGCAUAAGAGUAGAUGUCGCAUGACAUUUGCUUAAAAGGUGCAAUUGCAUCACUACCAGAUGGACCUGCGUUGUAUUAGCUAGUUGGUGAGGUAACGGCUCACCAAGGCAACGAUACAUAGCCGACCUGAGAGGGUGAUCGGCCACACUGGGACUGAGACACGGCCCAGACUCCUACGGGAGGCAGCAGUAGGGAAUCUUCGGCAAUAGACGGAAGUCUGACCGAGCAACGCCGCGUGAGUGAAGAAGGUUUUCGGAUCGUAAAGCUCUGUUGUAAGAGAAGAACGAGUGUGAGAGUGGAAAGUUCACACUGUGACGGUAUCUUACCAGAAAGGGACGGCUAGCUACGUG